This 282-nucleotide unclassified non-coding RNA is filed under the name plant metagenome. Its description in RNAcentral is "partial contains small subunit ribosomal RNA, internal transcribed spacer 1, and 5.8S ribosomal RNA". The record is from RNAcentral.
UUUCCGUAGGUGAACCUGCGGAAGGAUCAUUGUCGAAACCUGCCCAGCAGAACGACCCGCGAACUUGUAUAAACAACCGGGGGCGGGGGGCGUUCUCGCCCCGUGCCCCCGAACGGCGGGGAGACACUCGUGCCUUCUUGCCGAACAACGAACCCCGGCGCGAUCUGCGCCAAGGAACUUCAACUAAAGAGUGCCUCCGGUCGCCUCGGAAACGGCGUGCGUGCCGGGGGCGAAUCUUGUGCAAAACCAUAACGACUCUCGGCAACGGAUAUCUCGGCUCUC